This is a long non-coding RNA of Humulus lupulus (European hop), 1285 nucleotides long. RefSeq lists it as uncharacterized. Lineage: Eukaryota; Viridiplantae; Streptophyta; Magnoliopsida; Rosales; Cannabaceae. The transcript is spliced from 5 exons. The record is from RefSeq and is a predicted model, not a curated record.
AGUGAUACGACAACGUUUCAAAGUGAGGUUAUCUAUAUGCAAAAAUCAACCCAACCCCAUUCUUCUGCCCCGAUAGCUCUCACUCUUGUUUGUUUGUGUGACUUGACUCCCUAGCAAGCACCAUUCUUCAACCCAGCUUCCAUUCCCUCUGCGCGCGACUCCAUUGAAUGACUCUUCUCCCAUCGGUGUGACUGCCCAGCCCACUUCGACAGCCGAGCUCUUAACCAAUGACGUAGUCGACUCUCUCAACGCCAUAUCUAUUUUUCCUUUUUUGAAAUCAUUUUGAUUUCCUUGUUUUGCAUUUCGGAAAUAGGGUUUUUAUUUAUUUUCUUUUAAUGAAUAUGUUAUGAAAGCUCAAUUUUGUUUCGCUGUUAAAGAUUUUCUCUUAUUUGUAUCGAAUCUGCUCUGGUCUUCUUCGCCAUUGAAGACCAGCAUUUCACAAAGUGCAAGCUCAACUCGGUGUGGAAGCUUUUGCUGAUGCCCAACUUGUGAUUCCCAAGAUACUUGCUGAGAACUCUGGUCUUGACACAUAAGAUGCGAUCAUAGCACUUAUGGAUAAAAUAAUAGCGGCGGAUCCCGCCGCUAAUGCUUAUGAAUACAAAUCAAAUUGGCACCACCUCUUCGCGUCUGUUCUCCUUUCUUCUUCUCUGAUUCCUCCGUCUUCUCCGACUGCCAUUCGCACCAUUUCUUCUUCUCCGAUCAUUCCCUUUGGUACACAGAGAAGUAGCAAGUUCUCUCUCUCUUUGGCCAUUUCCAUCAUUUGGCCACACACGGCUGUGCCAGCCACAAACAGUUGAUGUCGCUGCCAACGAGAAUAGAGAACCAUAAUCGAUGUGAGAGUUGCAUUGAUCUUGGAGUGUUUGGAAGCUGCCAAAGCCUAGUUAGUUAAAAAUGAACGUUGAUGGUGUUGUUUGUGUGAGACGGGGUCUUCUUGGGUUUGAGGUUGUCGUUCGAGAUGACUGGGGCUGUUUGGUUUAUUACUUUACUCACCAUGUGCAUUCGAAUCAAACACCCUAUACACGACCGAGUUUGCAUGGCUUGCUUGGAGGCAUUGAAAUGAUGUUUUCAGAGUGGAUCACCAUUCAUUCGUUAGAGAGCGACUGUCGAAAUGUUAUUUGGGCCGUUCAAAGAAGUAGAGAUAGUUUUGUAAAUAAUAUAAUUGUUGGGGAUAUCCACCAUUUUCUGUAUUAUUUUUGUUAAGUUGGUUCAUGUCAUUUUGUUCCCCGUGAAGAAAAUAAAAUAUAAUACCCCAUUUAUUGGCAAAACUUAGUCUCAUGGAUGCUCU